CCUACGGGUGGCAGCAGUGAGGAAUAUUGGUCAAUGGGCGGAAGCCUGAACCAGCCAAGUAGCGUGCAGGAUGACGGCCCUACGGGUUGUACACUGCUUUUAUACGGGAAUCACGCGCCUUACGUGUAGGGCUUUGCAUGUACCGUAUGAAUAAGGACCGGCUAAUUCCGUGCCAGCAUCCGCGGUAAUACGGAAGGUCCGGGCGUUAUCCGGUUUUCUUGGGUUUAAAGGGCGCGUAGGCCGCAUGUCAAGCGUGCUGUGAAAUGUCCGGGCUCAACCCGGGCCUUGCAUCGCGAACUGGCGUGCUUGAGUCCGCGGAAAGCAGGCGGAAGUCGUCGUGUAGCGGUGAAAGGCUGAGAUAUGACGAAGAACCCCGAUUGCGAAGGCAGCUUGCUGCAGCGGAACUGACGCUGAUGCUCGAAAGCGCGGGUAUCGAACAGGAUUAGAUACCCUUGUAGUC
RNAcentral lists this ribosomal RNA (460 nucleotides) under uncultured bacterium. Its description in RNAcentral is "partial 16S ribosomal RNA". It matches the Rfam family "Bacterial small subunit ribosomal RNA", at positions 338 to 795 of the family's 1533-position model. The record is from RNAcentral.